This 469-nucleotide unclassified non-coding RNA is filed under the name Hevea brasiliensis (rubber tree). Lineage: Eukaryota; Viridiplantae; Streptophyta; Magnoliopsida; Malpighiales; Euphorbiaceae. The record is from RNAcentral.
CUCUUUAAUUGCAUAGACUAGUAGGUUUUGGUGUCUCCUACGUUAAGCCAGCCCCUUCCUCCUCACCCUUCCAUCCUUCUAAAGUUUUGUGAAGAACAUAUAGAUAUACAUCAGAUUUUAGAUAACCAGAAGAAAUGGUGAAGAUCUGUUGCAUUGGUGCUGGUUAUGUUGGGGGUCCUACCAUGGCAGUUAUUGCAUUGAAGUGCCCCUCAAUUGAAGUAGCUGUUGUUGACAUCUCAGUUUCUAGAAUUGCAGCAUGGAAUGGUGAUCAACUUCCCAUUUAUGAGCCAGGCCUUGACGAGGUGGUGAAGCAGUGCAGAGGAAACAACCUUUUCUUCAGCACAGACAUUGAAAAACAUGUCUUUGAAGCAGACAUAAUCUUUGUUUCUGUUAACACCCCGACAAAAACUCGGGGCCUUGGAGCAGGCAAAGCUGCUGACUUGACUUAUUGGGAGAGUGCAGCCCGAAU